UACGUAGGGUGCGAGCGUUAAUCGGAAUUACUGGGCGUAAAGGGUGCGCAGGCGGUCUUGCAAGUCAGAUGUGAAAGCCCCGGGCUUAACCUGGGAAUUGCGUUUGAAACUAUAAGGCUAGAGUGCAGCAGAGGGGAGUGGAAUUCCAUGUGUAGCAGUGAAAUGCGUAGAGAUGUGGAAGAACACCGAUGGCGGAGGCAGCUCCCUGGGCUGACACUGACGCUCAUGCACGAAAGCGUGGGGAGCAAACAGG
RNAcentral lists this ribosomal RNA (253 nucleotides) under uncultured bacterium. RNAcentral's name for it is "partial 16S ribosomal RNA". It matches the Rfam family "Bacterial small subunit ribosomal RNA", at positions 524 to 776 of the family's 1533-position model. The record is from RNAcentral.